UACGUAGGGGGCUAGCGUUGUCCGGAUUUAUUGGGCGUAAAGAGCUCGUAGGUGGUUCGGUAAGUCGGAUGUGGAAUCUCCAGGCUCAACCUGGAGGGGUCAUUCGAUACUGCCGUGACUAGAGUUCGGUAGAGGAGUGUGGAAUUCCUGGUGGAGCGGUGAAAUGCGCAGAGAUCAGGAGGAACACCCGUAGCGAAGGCGGCACUCUGGGCCGAUACUGACACUGAGGAGCGAAAGCGUGGGGAGCGAACAGG
RNAcentral lists this ribosomal RNA (254 nucleotides) under uncultured bacterium. RNAcentral describes it as "partial 16S ribosomal RNA". It matches the Rfam family "Bacterial small subunit ribosomal RNA", at positions 524 to 776 of the family's 1533-position model. The record is from RNAcentral.